Molecule: long non-coding RNA, 1619 nt
Organism: Leopardus geoffroyi (Geoffroy's cat)
Lineage: Eukaryota; Metazoa; Chordata; Mammalia; Carnivora; Felidae
Exons: 3
Source: RefSeq, a predicted model, not a curated record
CUGACUGAGCCACCCAGGCAGCCCUAUAUUCAUAUAAUUUGAAUGUUUGUAUCAAUGAUAUAUAUUCUAUGUGCUUCUAUUAGUACUUUUUUUAACCUAAACUUUAUAUUUUUCACAGUUUAAUUCUAUUCUGUGAGAUUUCUUGCCUUUUCCAAAGCAUGAAGAACUAUUUGGGGCCUGUCUUUAUAAUUCUACUUUUUUUGGCUAAUAUUCCAAACUAACAUAAUCUAAUUAUUGAGUCCUCUAGACCUGAAGUAAAGUAGGGCAAUAUUCUAGCUGUGUGUCCUUGGGAAAGUUACUUAACCUCUCUCUGCCUCUGAUGCUUAUCAUAUUUGUUUGUAUAAGGAUUAAAUGAAAUUUAAAAAAAAAAAAAAAAAAGCUUGGUGCCUGGCAAAUUGUAAGCCGCUGAUCAAUGUUAAUUCCAUUUUGUGAUUGCGUGGCCAUUAUGCAGGCCUCCUCCAGAGCCCCUGACACACUGAAGCAGAGAGAGAGUUCUCUCCUCAGUCUUGUUUGUAGGCCUUCUGGACACAGUGACGACAUCCCAGCUAUUCUUGUUUUGGACUUGAGUUUUGGAGUCAGUCUAGCACGGCCUCUCUUGCUUGUCAGAGGUCUUAUAUAAGGAGACCACAAGCCUUGUCCCCUCUUCUCUCUCUUCCUGUGUAGAUGGGACAUCAUUAGAACUGAGAAAAUUAAACCACCCUUGAUAAUACAUACUGCCUGAGAAAGAAACUCAGUAAAUUACUUUGAGAUCAGGAAGCAGACUAAAAGGGAUUAAAUACCUGCAGAAGAUCAAUUUGCAAGCGAUGGAACUUUGAUUCAGUCCCGGUGGUCUGACUCCAGAACCAGAACUGGGGCUAGGGCAGGUCGCCUUAUCCAACCAGCAGCAAACCAGUCAGCAGCCUGAAGCAAAAUGGUGUGAGAACAACUUUCUAAUGACAGCCAUCCUAAAUGUCACAUGCUAUUUGCCCAGGUAUCAUAUGUAUGAUUUCUUUGCUCCCAGCAUAAAAUUGACCUUUGACUGAGCUAUCCAGUGGUGGGUAUGAGCCAUAAAUAUGCAUCCCAAAUUUGAUAUAUGCCAUCCGCGGUAUAGCGAUAAGUAGCAUUUUGGAACUUAGGCACUUGUUGGCAGGAAUCAAUUUGUGGGUUUGUAAAGUUAGCCAAUAUUUUAAUAGUUUGAGGGUAUGAAAAAGUCUGGUUAUGUCCUGGUAAGUUCCAUGUCCUAUUGAUCAUGGGUCAGGAAGAAACAUUCUGAUUAGUGAUAGAUUUAUCAUGAAACAUAGUAUCAUUAUGUAUUAUUUCUGAAAUAUAAGUAUAUAGAGAGUGUCAAUCAGUGCCUUGUAAAGGGGAAACCCACCAGGGAGGCCCGGAUGUACUUGACGUGGGCAAAACUUCACAUACCCAACAAGCUGUCUGAUUUUGUAGUUCAGCCCCUUGUAGAAAGGAGUUGUCAGCAAAGAUAGGUGAAAACAAAGAGAAAAUAUGCAAUCUUCAUCAUCAUCUGGAGAGGAAUUUAAGAUCUUCUACAGGUGCACAGGAGUAAGAAGACACUUUAGUUUGCUCAUUGGUUUCCUGAGUGCUCACACUCUGUUUCUCUUUCUCUCUGAAAAAUAAAUAAACAU